This 63-nucleotide transfer RNA is filed under the name Aulacophora indica. RNAcentral's name for it is "tRNA-His". The record is from RNAcentral. Lineage: Eukaryota; Metazoa; Arthropoda; Insecta; Coleoptera; Chrysomelidae.
AUCUAAAUAGUUUAAUUAAAAUAUUGAUUUGUGGCAUCAAAGUUAUAGAAAUUAUUUUAGAUU